UCAUACUGUCCCCCUCACCCCAACACUGAUUGUCACCCUGGAGGUGACAAGGGGCCACCCUAUACUCUGGGUGCGCACUGGCCAGGCCUCAGCGCAGUGACCCAUUGCGACCAGAUGCUGCUGGGUUUGGGGAAGUCCCUGCAUCCCAUCUCUGCCCUUUUACCUUUCUGCCCUCCCCACAGGUCCCGCAGCCCCAAAAACAAGAGGAAAGAGAAAAACAAAGAGCGCAAGAGGUCCCGCAGUGCAUCGCCAGCCUGGCGGUCACACCGGCGCAGCAGCUGCAGCUCGCACAGCGCUUCGCUCUCCUCCGACUACAGCAACUCCAAAUCCCCCAGCAGGCUAAGCCCCAAGCAUCGUGAGGAUGGCCCCAAGGGCAACAGCGCCCGCUCCAGCCGCAGCCCGUCCUCCUCCUCACCGCGCCGUUCGGCCUCACCGCACCAGAACGGGCACAAGGGCAGCGCCCAGAAUGGCCGCCACAGCCAUGGCCCUGCACUCGAGGAGCCAACGGAUGUACGUAGGCUUUUCUUGCACCAUGGUUUGCUGCCCUCUUCUCCUCUUCCUUCUCCCUUCGCAGGAAUCCCUCACCCUGGCUCUCCUCUUCCCUCCUUUCCCAUCUCAAUGACGGACAGACUGAUGGGGACACAGUGCUGGUGUCCCUGUCCCUGUGUAGACAUGUUCCCCCAACCCUGGGGUGCUGGUCCAUCUCCUCUGGGCAGGAUCCCCAGCACCAGGUCCCCCUUUAUGGCCACUCUGUGGAUGUCACACCCUGAGGUGUUCUCUGUGGCUCAGCAGGGCCACGGUUGGGAGUGGAGUACUCACAGAUGGCCAAAAAGUGGGUAAAAAUGGAAGUGUUAUUUCUAUGCCACCUGCAGCCCAUCCAAGUGCAGGUCUCCAGCACCAUUCUGUGUGCCCAAACUGGGGACUGCUGUAAGGCCAGGAGAGGUCAUGGAGUGGGGCUUGGGGCUGAGUGCUAAGAUUUUGGGCAUCCAGGGUCUCCAUGAUGGGUGAUAGCGGGUCCAAUUGUCCCCAGCAAUACCGAGAGUCCCAGCAAAACCCAGCUGUGCUGGGGGCUUGUCCCCACAAUGGGAUGAGGGGACCAGCCCCAGUUUAACGAGUAAUGGAGCACCUCUCUACCUUCUUCUUUGCUGUUUGGAGUCUGGGUGCCAAAGAGCCCCCACCCCAGGCAUCUCGCAUUGCCCAUGAGUUCCCUUGGCUCCCCAGCUCUAGAGGGGACUUUUCUUCGACAACUUUUCUCUCUUUCUCUCUCUCUUUCUCUCUCUGUUUUUGUUUUCUUUGAUUUUUUUUUUCUUUUCUUUUUAAUCCCAUCUGUGUUUUUCUUUAGCCUCCCAUUUGAAAAAAACCCAAACGGUAAUAUACAAUUCCAUUUCUUGCUCAGCAGAAGCAGGGAAGAGGGGGAGGGAAGGGCAAUGAAACCACGCUUUUUUUCCCCCCUUGUUUUAGUUUCCUUUAUCAUGAUUUAUUUUCUUUUCCUUCAUAAUGUACAGAAAUGCAAACAAUAUAUAUAUCUCUUAUUUUAUUUUCCCCUGUCG
This is a long non-coding RNA of Phasianus colchicus (ring-necked pheasant), 1550 nucleotides long. The record is from Ensembl. NCBI's taxonomy places the organism in Eukaryota, Metazoa, Chordata, Aves, Galliformes, Phasianidae.